UGAAACUGCGAAUGGCUCAUUAAAUCAGUUAUCGUUUAUUUGAUAGUACCUUACUCUUGGAUAACCGUGGUAAUUCUAGAGCUAAUACAUGCUAAAAACCCCAACUUCGGAAGGGGUGUAUUUAUUAGAUAAAAAACCAACGCCCUUCGGGGCUCCUUGGUGAUUCAUAAUAACUAAACGAAUCGCAUGGCCUUGCGCCGGCGAUGGUUCAUUCAAAUUUCUGCCCUAUCAACUUUCGAUGGUAGGAUAGUGGCCUACCAUGGUAUCAACGGGUAACGGGGAAUUAGGGUUCUAUUCCGGAGAGGGAGCCUGAGAAACGGCUACCACAUCCAAGGAAGGCAGCAGGCGCGCAAAUUACCCAAUCCCGACACGGGGAGGUAGUGACAAUAAAUACUGAUACAGGGCUCUUUUGGGUCUUGUAAUUGGAAUGAGUACAAUUUAAAUCCCUUAACGAGGAACAAUUGGAGGGCAAGUCUGGUGCCAGCAGCCGCGGUAAUUCCAGCUCCAAUAGCGUAUAUUAAAGUUGUUGCAGUUAAAAAGCUCGUAGUUGAACCUUGGGCCUGGCUGGGCCGGUCCGCCUCACCGCGUGUACUGGUCCGGCCGGGCCUUUCUUCUGGGGAGCCGCAUGCCCUUCACUGGGCGUGUCGGGCAACCACGACUUUUACUUUGAAAAAUUAGAGUGUCAAAGCAGCCUUUGCUCGAAUACAUUAUCAUGCAUAAUAAAUAGACGUGCGGUCUAUUUUGUGGUUUCUACGACCGCGUAUGAUAUUAGGAUAGCGGGGCAUCGUUUCAUUGU
RNAcentral lists this ribosomal RNA (796 nucleotides) under uncultured eukaryote. Its description in RNAcentral is "SSU rRNA". It matches the Rfam family "Eukaryotic small subunit ribosomal RNA", at positions 82 to 900 of the family's 1831-position model. The record is from RNAcentral.